UGAGGAAUAUUGCACAAUGGACGAAAGUCUGAUGCAGCCAUGCCGCGUGCAGGAUGACUGCCCUAUGGGUUGUAAACUGCUUUUAUAUAGGAAGAAACUUUUCUACGUGUAGAAAACUGACGGUACUAUAAGAAUAAGGACCGGCUAACUCCGUGCCAGCAGCCGCGGUAAUACGGAGGGUCCAAGCGUUAUCCGGAUUCAUUGGGUUUAAAGGGUCCGUAGGCAAAAGAUUAAGUCAGUAAUGAAAGCCUACAGCUCAACUGUAGAACUACCAUUGAAACUGAUUUUCUUGAAUAUAGAUGAAGUGGGCGGAAUAUAUCAUGUAGCGGUGAAAUGCAUAGAUAUGAUAUAGAACACCGAUUGCGAAGGCAGCUCACUAAACUAUUAUUGACGCUGAGGGACGAAAGCGUGGGGAGCGAACAGG
This 424-nucleotide ribosomal RNA is filed under the name uncultured bacterium. RNAcentral describes it as "bacterial SSU rRNA". It matches the Rfam family "Bacterial small subunit ribosomal RNA", at positions 355 to 776 of the family's 1533-position model. The record is from RNAcentral.